AGAGUUUGAUCCUGGCUCAGAAUCAACGCUGGCGGCGUGCCUAACACAUGCAAGUCGAACGAGAAAGUGGAGCAAUCCAUGAGUAAAGUGGCGACCGGGUGAGUAACACGUGACUAACCUACCUUCGAGUGGGGAAUAACUUCGGGAAACCGAGGCUAAUACCGCAUAACACCGAGAGGUCAAAGGAGUAAUUCGCUUGA
RNAcentral lists this ribosomal RNA (200 nucleotides) under uncultured bacterium. RNAcentral describes it as "partial 16S ribosomal RNA". It matches the Rfam family "Bacterial small subunit ribosomal RNA", at positions 8 to 222 of the family's 1533-position model. The record is from RNAcentral.